AAUAAGGUUAUUUUUUAGUUUUUAGACAUAAUGGUUUGACUCGUCUUAUUUAAAAUUUUUUUACGAUUAAUAUUUUUAUUUUUACUAGACGAUAACAUAUGAACAGUAUUUUAUGCGUGACUAAUUUUUUUAUGUUUUUAUAUAAAUUUUUCAAAUAAGACGAGUGGCAAAGCAUUAGAAACAGAAAUAAAAAAAUGAUGUUAUU
This 205-nucleotide microRNA precursor is filed under the name Oryza brachyantha (malo sina). RNAcentral's name for it is "MIR812 microRNA precursor family". It matches the Rfam family "MIR812 microRNA precursor family". The record is from Rfam by way of RNAcentral. Lineage: Eukaryota; Viridiplantae; Streptophyta; Magnoliopsida; Poales; Poaceae.